GAGGAACUUAAAAGAUAGAAUGAUAGAAUAUAAAAGGGACAUAAAAAGAGCUAAUCUAAAUACAGUGCUAGCCAAAAAAGCAUAUGAAGGGAACAUCAAAUGGGAAGAAGGAAAAAUAAUUAAAACAAUACAUAACCCAGAAGUACUGUACACAGCAGAAAAUAUCCAGAUUUUCAAAGGGCAGAGAGAAGCCCGAGUAGUUAACGAUAAACAAAUAGACACCCUGAGAAAAUCUUGGAGAUAUCUCCUAAGAUAGCAAGUAUGUAUAUACAAAGAAGAUAUGGUAACAUCUGCCAAUGUAAGGCAAAAUUUUAAAAUUAAGAAAAGAAAAAAGAAGAACC
Molecule: long non-coding RNA, 341 nt
Filed under: Androctonus crassicauda
Lineage: Eukaryota; Metazoa; Arthropoda; Arachnida; Scorpiones; Buthidae
Source: RNAcentral